ACGAGAUGACACCUUGUUCUUUAGGGCCAAUCACAGUUGUGUCAAUCCAAAGAAAUAUCUUCUGCCGAAUCUGCUGGGGCACUGCGUCACUUGCCCCCAAUGCAAACUUUCCAUUGUAUGAAGACUUUUCAACCAUUUCCUCCCAUACACACACACACACACACACACACACGAAAGCCUUCUUAUGAGUUAUUUUGUCAAUGAUAACAAAGGUUACAGAGGUCCAUGUUGCACUUUGGACGGCGGCGGCAGCGGACCUGGAAGGUCACACAAAGAAAAACUUGUCUGAUUGGAGUCACAGCUGCUGUACGUACCGAUGAAGAAGAGCACAAAGACAACGGUGAAGACGACGAGGAGGAAAGUCGGCGCCUCGGUGGGGGAAAGUGAGCGUCGAGCGUUGUCUCGUCGUUUCGUUCCGAAGGGGUCUUAUCAGGAAGGUUCCGUCCUACGCACGGCAACAAACCUUCGAGACAUACAAAAUAACACCAGCAGAGGCCCAGCAGCUUCUGGAAGCGGGCCGCGACGCCUUGUCCGGUCUGUCCCAUCUCGCAUUGUCAUAUCAAUGCCUUGCGGAAGAACGGGCGCUGAGGAAUACUUUAUACCACAAUUGUUCAUCAAAGGCUAGGUAGAUUUACC
Molecule: long non-coding RNA, 636 nt
Organism: Phyllopteryx taeniolatus (common seadragon)
Lineage: Eukaryota; Metazoa; Chordata; Actinopteri; Syngnathiformes; Syngnathidae
Exons: 3
Source: RefSeq, a predicted model, not a curated record